UUUUUGGAUAUUAUAUUUCUAGAAAUCAUUUUAAAAUUAUCGCAAAUAUUAAUAUUUAUCUAGUUUAAGGAACAAAAUUUUUAGUAUCACUAUAAAAGAAUAGAGUUUAAACAUCAUUCUGUUAACACGUGUGAAAUGAAGAUCGGAAUAAUCUUUUUGGAAGUUCUCCUCAUUUUGUGCAUCGGAUAUUUCCGUUCCGGAGAAUGCAGGAAAUGUAAAUGCUCAGAGGUUCCAAGCUGGAAAGACUUCAAGCAGCUAAAGAGAGUGGAAAGAGAUUCAGAGGUUCCAAGCUGGAAAGACUUCAAGCCGCUAAAGAGAGUGGAAAGAGCAUGUUAUUUAUUCAUAUGCAGGAAAAAUGAUGAUACUAAUGAACUGGAAUAUCUAAAAACCAGGAGAUUUCGCGCCUUAGAAAGAUUAUAUGGAAAUUCAUUUGAAGAUUU
Molecule: long non-coding RNA, 440 nt
Organism: Gordionus sp. m RMFG-2023
Lineage: Eukaryota; Metazoa; Nematomorpha; Gordioida; Chordodea; Parachordodidae
Exons: 4
Source: RefSeq, a predicted model, not a curated record